CGCAAUGCUAGGUCAGGCGGGAUUACCCGCUUGUUGAUGCUUAUCAAUCAUCGGACGAAAAGAAAACGAUCA
RNAcentral lists this ribosomal RNA (72 nucleotides) under Solanum lycopersicum (tomato). RNAcentral describes it as "partial 28S ribosomal RNA". The record is from RNAcentral. Lineage: Eukaryota; Viridiplantae; Streptophyta; Magnoliopsida; Solanales; Solanaceae.